This is a long non-coding RNA of Vigna unguiculata (cowpea), 1031 nucleotides long. NCBI's taxonomy places the organism in Eukaryota, Viridiplantae, Streptophyta, Magnoliopsida, Fabales, Fabaceae. The record is from RefSeq and is a predicted model, not a curated record.
UAAAUUAGGGUUUGUGUUAUCUUCUUUCUCCCAUUUCUCCCACCACAUGCAUGUCGCCGCUCGAUCUGCAUAUCUCUUCUCUUUUACUCAAUAUCUUCUUUUUUUUUCAAGUCAAUUUUUUUGCCAUAACCGCGAUGCCACCACCACUCGCCAUGGGCCACCAUCAAAAACCCGAUUCGCCUCUACCUUGUUGUGGCGACAAGUUGAGAAACCAUUACCGAUUUCUGCCAUGUCGCCGUCAUGACCGAUAUUCAACAACACCGGUCAAUGUUCCAUUCUUUUGAGUGUGUUACUGUUCCAUUCUUUUUUUGGUAUGGUGCUAGCUUACAUUGGUGCUUUCAUUCUCAUUCAUGACGGAGAAUACAAGAUUGAAGGAGCUCCAAGGGGGAGAUAAAGGAAUCAAUGGUAGAUGUCAAGCAAUUAGCCAAUGAAGUGGCUACUAUAGAUAGGGAUUUGAAAAGCUUGAUCGCAACUCUUCAUGAGCGUCUGCAAGACGAUUUUACUUGUUUUGAAACAUUGGAAACUUCUAUGGAUUCAGUUUUGAAAUCGAUUCAUCCUCUGGAUAUAGAGGUGUUACAUUGGAUUUUCAAGACGGAACAAGUUUUUGACUACUGUAAAACUCUCGAUGAUCAACAUUUGCUCAUUGCCUUUGUGCAUAUGGAAAAAGAGGUGGUUCCAUGAUUUCAAAUGCAAAUGGUUUCAAAUGUAAUAUUCGAGGUAUUUCCAGCAUGGUUCCUCUAACAACAUAUGUCAAGUGCUAAGUUGAAUGUCCCAGAUAAGAAGGUCACAUGUUCCUAACUAAGAAUAUCUCCUAUAAAAUAUUACUACUAGCUUAUCCAUAUGCCAUCUACAAAGUUAGAAGACAAUUCAAUAACUGAUCAUCCUUUUUGUCAAGGUCAAAUAUGAAGAAAUAGGAAAAUGUACACACUGCAAAGUUCCUGCGAUUAGUGUGCAUGAACUAUCAAUCUAUAGCAAGAAUUCCCUAACUAAGCACCUUGUAUAUAUAUGGUGGUUUCCAAAUUAAUCAGAGU